This 30-nucleotide non-coding RNA is filed under the name Rattus norvegicus (Norway rat). Lineage: Eukaryota; Metazoa; Chordata; Mammalia; Rodentia; Muridae. The record is from RNAcentral.
UGAGGUCAAUUCAGUGAAGUCCCGGCCAAU